Molecule: ribosomal RNA, 253 nt
Filed under: uncultured bacterium
Lineage: Bacteria
Description: partial 16S ribosomal RNA
Rfam family: Bacterial small subunit ribosomal RNA
Source: RNAcentral
UACAGAGGGUGCAAGCGUUGUCCGGAUUGAUUGGGUUUAAAGGGUGCGUAGGCGGUUCUUUAAGUCCGGGGUGAAAGCCCACUGCUCAACAGUGGAACUGCCCUGGAAACUGGAGAACUUGAGUACAGACGAGGGCGGCGGAAUGGAUGGUGUAGCGGUGAAAUGCAUAGAUACCAUCCAGAACCCCGAUUGCGAAGGCAGCUGCCUAGACUGUAACUGACGCUGAGGCACGAAAGCGUGGGGAGCGAACAGG